Molecule: ribosomal RNA, 865 nt
Filed under: uncultured haloarchaeon
Lineage: Archaea; Methanobacteriati; Methanobacteriota; Halobacteria; Halobacteriales; Halobacteriaceae
Description: bacterial SSU rRNA
Rfam family: Archaeal small subunit ribosomal RNA
Source: RNAcentral
UCAUUGCUAUUGGAGUCCGAUUUAGCCAUGCUAGUUGCACGAGUUGAGACUCGUAGCAGAUAGCUCAGUAACACGUGGCCAAACUGCCCUAUAGACGGCGAUAACCUCGGGAAACUGAGGCUAAUAGCCGAUACCGUUCACGACCUGGAGUGGUGUGAACGCGAAACGUUCAGGCGCUAUAGGAUGUGGCUGCGGCCGAUUAGGUAGACGGUGGGGUAACGGCCCACCGUGCCAGUAAUCGGUACGGGUCAUGAGAGUGAGUGCCCGGAGAUGGUCUCUGAGACAAGAGUCCAGGCCCUACGGGGCGCAGCAGGCGCGAAACCUUUACACUGCACGACAGUGCGAUAAGGGGACCCCAAGUGCGAGGGCAUAUAGUCCUCGCUUUUCUGGAGGGUAAGGACCUCCAGGAACAAGUGCUGGGCAAGACCGGUGCCAGCCGCCGCGGUAAUACCGGCAGCGCAAGUGAUGGCCGAUCUUAUUGGGCCUAAAGCGUCCGUAGCUGGCCAGGCAAGUCCAACGGGAAAUCCACCCGCUCAACGGGUGGACGGCCGGUGGAAACUGCCCGGCUCGGGACCGGAAGACCCAACGGGUACGUCCAGGGUAGGAGUGAAAUCCCGUAAUCCUGGACGGACCGCCGAUGGCGAAAGCACGUUGGGAAGACGGAUCCGACAGUGAGGGACGAAAGCUAGGGUCUCGAACCGGAUUAGAUACCCGGGUAGUCCUAGCUGUAAACGAUGCUCGCUAGGUGUGGCACAGGCUACGCGCCUGUGCUGUGCCGUAGGGAAGCCGCUAAGCGAGCCGCCUGGGAAGUACGUCCGCAAGGAUGAAACUUAAAGGAAUUGGCGGGGGAGCACUACAACCGGAG